RNAcentral lists this ribosomal RNA (760 nucleotides) under uncultured crenarchaeote. Its description in RNAcentral is "bacterial SSU rRNA". It matches the Rfam family "Archaeal small subunit ribosomal RNA", at positions 557 to 1329 of the family's 1478-position model. The record is from RNAcentral. Lineage: Archaea; Thermoproteati; Thermoproteota.
AUUUAAUCGUUGGUCUGCGGGGGAUACUGCUCGGCUAGGGGACGAGAGAGGCCGACGGUAUUUCCGGGGUAGGGUGAAAUCCUAUAAUCCCGGGAAGACCACCAGUGGCGAAGCUGUCGGCUAAACGCGCCCGACGGUGAGGGAUGAAAGCUGGGGGAGCGAACCGGAUUAGAUACCCGGGUAGUCCCAGCUGUAAACGAUGCAGGCUAGUGUUUGGGCGGCCACGUGCCGCUCUAUGCCGCAGGGAAGCUGUUAAGCCUGCCGCCUGGGGAGUACGAUCGCAAGAUUGAAACUUAAAGGAAUUGGCGGGGGAGCACCACAAGGGGUGAAGCUUGCGGUUUAAUUGGAGUCAACGCCGGAAAUCUCACCGGGAGCGACAGCAGGUUGAAGGCCAAUUAAAGGUCUUGCCAGACGACUGAAGGAGGUGCAUGGCCGUCGCCAUUCGUGCCGUGAGGUGUCCUGUUAAGUCAGGCAACGAUCGAGACCCGCGUCCUCUGUUGCAACCAGGUCUUGUGCUGGGCACACUGAGGAGACCGCCGCUGAUAAAGCGGAGGAAGGAGCGGGCCACGGCAGGUCAGUAUGCCCCGAAUCUCCCGGGCCAACGCGAGCUGCAAUGGCAGGUACAAUGGGUUCCGACCUUGAAAGGGGAAGGCAAUCUCGAAAGCCUGCCGUAUUGGGAUCGAGGGCUGUUAACCCCGUCAUCGUGAAACAUGGGAAUCCCUAUAAUUCGCGUGUCAACUAGCGCGCGGUGAAUACGUCC